RNAcentral lists this ribosomal RNA (1582 nucleotides) under Procambarus clarkii (red swamp crayfish). RNAcentral's name for it is "bacterial LSU rRNA". It matches the Rfam family "Bacterial large subunit ribosomal RNA", at positions 577 to 2204 of the family's 2925-position model. Lineage: Eukaryota; Metazoa; Arthropoda; Malacostraca; Decapoda; Cambaridae. The record is from RNAcentral.
AUGCCCGCAAGGGAAUGCCUGAUCGCGUGCCUUUUGCUUAAUGAGCCUGCGAGUUAUCCUGCGUAGCAAGGUUAAGGCGGAAAGCCGGAGCCGUAGCGAAAGCGAGUCCGAAUUGGGCAUUUAGUUGCGUAGGAUAGACCCGAAGCGAAGUGAUCUACCCAUGGCCAAGGUGAAUCCGCCGUAACAGGCGGAGGAGGCCUGAACUGAUGUUUGUUGCAAAAAGCUCGGAUGAGCUGUGGGUAGGGGUGAAAGGCUAAACAAACUUCGUAAUUGCUGGUUCUCCCCGAAAUGUCUAGAGGGACAGCCUCGUGUCAGCCGUAACGGAGGUAGAGCACUGAAUGGGCUAGGGGCGUUCCAACGCUACUGAACCCAAUCAAACUCCGAAUGCCGUUACUGGACGCACGGGAGUGAGACUACGAGUGCUAAGAUCCGUGGUCGAGAGGGAAAUAGCCCAGACCGUCAGCUAAGGUCCCUAAGCGCAAGCUAAGUGGGAAAGGUUGUAACGUCGCUCAGACAGCCAGGAGGUUGGCUUAGAAGCAGCCAUCCUUUAAAGAGUGCGUAAUAGCUCACUGGUCGAGCGAUGGUGCGCCGAAAAUUUAACGGGGCUCAAGUUUGCCACCGAAGCUACGGACUUUUCUCGCAAGAGAUGAGUGGUAGGGGAGCAUUCUCUGUGCAGUGAAGGUUGACCGACAAGGACAGCUGGAGCGCAGAGAAGAGAUUAUGCAGGCAUAAGUAGCGAUAAUUGAUGUGAGAAUCAUCAACCCCGUAAACCUAAGGUUUCCUGGCCUAUGUUCGUCAGGUCAGGGUGAGUCGGAUCCUAAGCCGAGGCCGAUAGGCGUAGGCGAUGGUAAACAGGUCAAUAUUCCUGUACCACAGUGAUGGCGUUAUCAGCGAAGGGGGGGUGCAGAAGGGUAGGCACCGCCGGGUCCCUGGAAUACCCGGUCUAAGCGNNNNNNAAACGGGCUGAUCCCAUGCUGCCGAGAAAAGCCUCGUAGCGAGUCAUCAUUGUGUCCGUACCGCAAACCGACACAGGUAGGUAGGUGGAAUACACCAAGGGGCGUGAGAGAACACUUCCUAAGGAACUUUGCAAUUUAGCCCCGUAACUUCGGGAGAAGGGGUGCCACGCGUAGGUGAAUCUGUACAAGGUAAGCCGAACGUGGUUGCAAUAAAGUGGCUCUAGCGACUGUUUACCAAAAACACAGGACUCUGCGAACACGCAAGUGGACGUAUAGGGUCUGACGCCUGCCCGGUGCUGGAAGGUUAACCGGAGGAGUUAGCCGCAAGGCGACGCUUUGAAGGGAAGCCCCAGUAAACGGCGGCCGUANNUCCUAAGGUAGCGAAAUUCCUUGUCGGGUAAGUUCCGACCUGCAUGAAUGGCGUAACGACUGGAGCGCUGUCUCGGGAAGUGACUCAGCGAAUUUGUUGUUCCGGUGAAGAAGCCGGGUGCCCGCAACUAGACGGAAAGACCCUGUGCACCUUUACUACAACUUGACAUUGGAUGUUGGAAAGAGCUGUGUAGGAUAGGUGGGAGCCUGCGAAGCGUGGCCGCUAGGUCGCGUGGAGGCGUCCUUGAAAUACCACC